CAGCCGCCGCGGGAAUACGUAGGUGGCAGGCGUUAUCCGGAAUUAUUGGGCGUAAAGCGCGUGUAGGCGGUUUUUUAAGUCUGAUGUGAAAGCCCACGGCUCAACCGUGGAGGGUCAUUGGAUACUGGAAAACUUGAGUGCAGAAGAGGAAAGUGGAAUUCCAUGUGUAGCGGUGAAAUGCGCAGAGAUAUGGAGGAACACCAGUGGCGAAGGCGACUUUCUGGUCUGUAACUGACGCUGAUGUGCGAAAGCGUGGGGAUCAAACAGGAUUAGAUACCCCCGUAGUCCCUGUCUCUUAUAC
Molecule: ribosomal RNA, 301 nt
Filed under: uncultured bacterium
Lineage: Bacteria
Description: partial 16S ribosomal RNA
Rfam family: Bacterial small subunit ribosomal RNA
Source: RNAcentral